Molecule: ribosomal RNA, 515 nt
Filed under: uncultured bacterium
Lineage: Bacteria
Description: partial 16S ribosomal RNA
Rfam family: Bacterial small subunit ribosomal RNA
Source: RNAcentral
GAUGAACGCUGGCGGCGUGCCUAAUACAUGCAAGUCGAGCGAAUGGAUUAAGAGCUUGCUCUUAUGAAGUUAGCGGCGGACGGGUGAGUAACACGUGGGUAACCUGCCCAUAAGACUGGGAUAACUCCGGGAAACCGGGGCUAAUACCGGAUAACAUUUUGAACCGCAUGGUUCGAAAGUGAAAGGCGGCUUCGGCUGGCACUUAUGGAUGGACCCGCGUUGCAUUAGCUAGUUGGUGAGGUAACGGCUCACCAAGGCAACGAUGCGUAGCCGACCUGAGAGGGUGAUCGGCCACACUGGGACUGAGACACGGCCCAGACUCCUACGGGAGGCAGCAGUAGGGAAUCUUCCGCAAUGGACGAAAGUCUGACGGAGCAACGCCGCGUGAGUGAUGAAGGCUUUCGGGUCGUAAAACUCUGUUGUUAGGGAAGAACAAGUGCUAGUUGAAUAAGCUGACACCUUGACGGUACCUAACCAGAGAGCCACGGCUAACUACGUGCCAGCCGCCGCUGUAA